This 21-nucleotide microRNA is filed under the name Capitella teleta. RNAcentral describes it as "cte-miR-2708". Lineage: Eukaryota; Metazoa; Annelida; Polychaeta; Capitellidae. The record is from miRBase by way of RNAcentral.
GAAGAUUUAAUAAGAUUGGGG